Molecule: ribosomal RNA, 201 nt
Filed under: Staphylococcus aureus
Lineage: Bacteria; Bacillati; Bacillota; Bacilli; Caryophanales; Staphylococcaceae
Description: partial 23S ribosomal RNA
Rfam family: Bacterial large subunit ribosomal RNA
Source: RNAcentral
UGUCGUGCCAACGGCAUAGCUGGGUAGCUAUGUGUGGACGGGAUAAGUGCUGAAAGCAUCUAAGCAUGAAGCCCCCCUCAAGAUGAGAUUUCCCAACUUCGGUUAUAAGAUCCCUCAAAGAUGAUGAGGUUAAUAGGUUCGAGGUGGAAGCAUGGUGACAUGUGGAGCUGACGAAUACUAAUCGAUCGAAGACUUAAUCAA